AGUUAUUAAGGGCGCACGGUGGAUGCCUUGGCACUAGAAGCCGAUGAAGGACGUUACUAACGACGAUAUGCUUUGGGGAGCUGUAAGUAAGCUUUGAUCCAGAGAUUUCCGAAUGGGGAAACCCAGCAUGAGUUAUGUCAUGUUAUCGAUAUGUGAAUACAUAGCAUAUCAGAAGGCACACCCGGAGAACUGAAACAUCUUAGUACCCGGAGGAAGAGAAAGAAAAUUCGAUUCCCUUAGUAGCGGCGAGCGAAACGGGAAGAGCCCAAACCAACAAGCUUGCUUGUUGGGGUUGUAGGACACUCUAUACGGAGUUACAAAGGACGACAUUAGACGAAUCAUCUGGAAAGAUGAAUCAAAGAAGGUAAUAAUCCUGUAGUCGAAAAUGUUGUCUCUCUUGAGUGGAUCCUGAGUACGACGGAGCACGUGAAAUUCCGUCGGAAUCUGGGAGGACCAUCUCCUAAGGCUAAAUACUCUCUAGUGACCGAUAGUGAACCAGUACCGUGAGGGAAAGGUGAAAAGCACCCCGGAAGGGGAGUGAAAUAGAACCUGAAACCGUGUGCUUACAAGUAGUCAGAGCCCGUUAAUGGGUGAUGGCGUGCCUUUUGUAGAAUGAACCGGCGAGUUACGAUUUGAUGCAAGGUUAAGCAGUAAAUGUGGAGCCGUAGCGAAAGCGAGUCUGAAUAGGGCGUUUAGUAUUUGGUCGUAGACCCGAAACCAGGUGAUCUACCCUUGGUCAGGUUGAAGUUCAGGUAACACUGAAUGGAGGACCGAACCGACUUACGUUGAAAAGUGAGCGGAUGAACUGAGGGUAGCGGAGAAAUUCCAAUCGAACCUGGAGAUAGCUGGUUCUCUCCGAAAUAGCUUUAGGGCUAGCCUCAAGUGAUGAUUAUUGGAGGUAGAGCACUGUUUGGACGAGGGGCCCCUCUCGGGUUACCGAAUUCAGACAAACUCCGAAUGCCAAUUAAUUUAACUUGGGAGUCAGAACAUGGGUGAUAAGGUCCGUGUUCGAAAGGGAAACAGCCCAGACCACCAGCUAAGGUCCCAAAAUAUAUGUUAAGUGGAAAAGGAUGUGGCGUUGCCCAGACAACUAGGAUGUUGGCUUAGAAGCAGCCAUCAUUUAAAGAGUGCGUAAUAGCUCACUAGUCGAGUGACACUGCGCCGAAAAUGUACCGGGGCUAAACAUAUUACCGAAGCUGUGGAUUGUCCUUUGGACAAUGGUAGGAGAGCGUUCUAAGGGCGUUGAAGCAUGAUCGUAAGGACAUGUGGAGCGCUUAGAAGUGAGAAUGCCGGUGUGAGUAGCGAAAGACGGGUGAGAAUCCCGUCCACCGAUUGACUAAGGUUUCCAGAGGAAGGCUCGUCCGCUCUGGGUUAGUCGGGUCCUAAGCUGAGGCCGACAGGCGUAGGCGAUGGAUAACAGGUUGAUAUUCCUGUACCACCUAUAAUCGUUUUAAUCGAUGGGGGGACGCAGUAGGAUAGGCGAAGCGUGCGAUUGGAUUGCACGUCUAAGCAGUAAGGCUGAGUAUUAGGCAAAUCCGGUACUCGUUAAGGCUGAGCUGUGAUGGGGAGAAGACAUUGAGUCUUCGAGUCGUUGAUUUCACACUGCCGAGAAAAGCCUCUAGAUAGAAAAUAGGUGCCCGUACCGCAAACCGACACAGGUAGUCAAGAUGAGAAUUCUAAGGUGAGCGAGCGAACUCUCGUUAAGGAACUCGGCAAAAUGACCCCGUAACUUCGGGAGAAGGGGUGCUCUUUAGGGUUAACGCCCAGAAGAGCCGCAGUGAAUAGGCCCAAGCGACUGUUUAUCAAAAACACAGGUCUCUGCUAAACCGUAAGGUGAUGUAUAGGGGCUGACGCCUGCCCGGUGCUGGAAGGUUAAGAGGAGUGGUUAGCUUCUGCGAAGCUACGAAUCGAAGCCCCAGUAAACGGCGGCCGUAACUAUAACGGUCCUAAGGUAGCGAAAUUCCUUGUCGGGUAAGUUCCGACCCGCACGAAAGGCGUAACGAUUUGGGCACUGUCUCAACGAGAGACUCGGUGAAAUCAUAGUACCUGUGAAGAUGCAGGUUACCCGCGACAGGACGGAAAGACCCCGUGGAGCUUUACUGUAGCCUGAUAUUGAAAUUCGGCACAGCUUGUACAGGAUAGGUAGGAGCCUUUGAAACGUGAGCGCUAGCUUACGUGGAGGCGCUGGUGGGAUACUACCCUAGCUGUGUUGGCUUUCUAACCCGCACCACUUAUCGUGGUGGGAGACAGUGUCAGGCGGGCAGUUUGACUGGGGCGGUCGCCUCCUAAAAGGUAACGGAGGCGCUCAAAGGUUCCCUCAGAAUGGUUGGAAAUCAUUCAUAGAGUGUAAAGGCAUAAGGGAGCUUGACUGCGAGACCUACAAGUCGAGCAGGGUCGAAAGACGGACUUAGUGAUCCGGUGGUUCCGCAUGGAAGGGCCAUCGCUCAACGGAUAAAAGCUACCCCGGGGAUAACAGGCUUAUCUCCCCCAAGAGUUCACAUCGACGGGGAGGUUUGGCACCUCGAUGUCGGCUCAUCGCAUCCUGGGGCUGUAGUCGGUCCCAAGGGUUGGGCUGUUCGCCCAUUAAAGCGGUACGCGAGCUGGGUUCAGAACGUCGUGAGACAGUUCGGUCCCUAUCCGUCGUGGGCGUAGGAAAUUUGAGAGGAGCUGUCCUUAGUACGAGAGGACCGGGAUGGACAUACCUCUGGUGUACCAGUUGUCGUGCCAACGGCAUAGCUGGGUAGCUAUGUGUGGACGGGAUAAGUGCUGAAAGCAUCUAAGCAUGAAGCCCCCCUCAAGAUGAGAUUUCCCAACUUCGGUUAUAAGAUCCCUCAAAGAUGAUGAGGUUAAUAGGUUCGAGGUGGAAGCAUGGUGACAUGUGGAGCUGACGAAUACUAAUCGAUCGAAGACUUAAUCAA
Molecule: ribosomal RNA, 2918 nt
Filed under: Staphylococcus aureus
Lineage: Bacteria; Bacillati; Bacillota; Bacilli; Caryophanales; Staphylococcaceae
Description: bacterial LSU rRNA
Rfam family: Bacterial large subunit ribosomal RNA
Source: RNAcentral